This 134-nucleotide small RNA is filed under the name Escherichia coli. Its description in RNAcentral is "RtT sRNA". It matches the Rfam family "RtT RNA". From Rfam's summary of the family: This family represents a bacterial cis-regulatory element known as RtT RNA. Lineage: Bacteria; Pseudomonadati; Pseudomonadota; Gammaproteobacteria; Enterobacterales; Enterobacteriaceae. The record is from RNAcentral.
UGCAUUUGAAGCCCAUGAGGAUGAGAACCUCCGGGGACGGGGAGGUUCGACUCGAGCGAAGCGAGAGAACGUUGCGCCAGCAACGGCCCGCAGGGCGAGCCACGAAGUGGCGAGUAAUCCUCUAUCACCGACCA